RNAcentral lists this long non-coding RNA (921 nucleotides) under Anser brachyrhynchus (Pink-footed goose). RNAcentral's name for it is "lncRNA (ENSABRG00000007578.1)". Lineage: Eukaryota; Metazoa; Chordata; Aves; Anseriformes; Anatidae. The record is from RNAcentral.
UUCUUUUUUAAUAAUGACAGGCUUUUACAUGUUCUGAAUGAAUAUUGACAUCUGUUUUGACAGUAUUUGUUCAGUGUUUUCAUAGUAAUUAUUUUUGAAAAAGGAAAAAACAGUUUGAAAUGCUACUCUAGGCUGAGUUCCAAUGAGGAUAAUUACAUGCUACCUCCUACUAAUCCCCUUCCAGCAUUGCUGCUUAUAAUAUUCCUUGGCUGUUGUCUUUAAACUAUCGCUCACUGCUGCUCAGCAGAAGCCACCCUUCCUUUCAGAGGUGGGUAUGAUUCAUCACUGAGUGACAAAGUCUUUGUGUAUUGUGGAAAUGAAGUUGUCCUGGAAUUUCAAAACUGCUCGCUUUCCGUCUAUAUCCCUUCAAUCAGAUCACAAAUGAUCUAGAGUAGGUCUGCUUUCAAAGUUGGGUUUUCAUUUUUCUAGAGGUGAGAAGAAACUGGAGUAUGCUCUUCAAGCUUUAUUGAAGCAGUCCAGAUAUUUCAUCCAUUAGCAGUGGCCACUUUAUGUAAUUUGAAGACCUGUGAGCCUGAUUUUCCCUGACUGUGCUGUCCAAGAAGCAAGAAGCAAGACCAACUGCUAAUACCUAACAACAUCACUGAAUGGAGACAGUGGCUUCUCUGCAGUUAUGCUGCUUUUUAUGUUGGUGGAGAGCCUGGUCCACAAAGGUGGUAGACACUGAAGGAUGCAGGAUAAUAAUCCAAGAUUUUAAGGGGCGGAGGAAAAAGAAAAAUGAGUGGAAUGCAGUGUAGCACAGCCUUUGAUGAACAGCAGAAGGUUGUUCAACACCACCAUUAAAGAGCUUCUAGCAUAACAUCUUGUGCCUACAUAAGCAAACAAUUUGUCAAGCAGGAAAGAAGAAUUUUGGUUCUGUGCCAUCUGCCUGUUUGAAAUCUUGUCCCACUUGCAGCACAAAAG